GUCCCCAUCAGUUCCGAGUUGAUGUGUGGAAGAACCAUAAAAGUAAGAAGAGAGCCUGAAGGACACGACUUGGACUCACUUUUCCAAGAGCCCUUCACCCAGAAGAAGGCAGAAUUGCCUUUUCAGUCCUGCUUACACGAGCAUCCAAGCUGCGUCCUCCUGCAGCUCUGCAAGGAAUCACACCAAAAUCACGGGGAAGCACGAUGAGUCACACGCGGGGUGCAAAGUCAGUUGCUGGAUACAAAGGAACAGGGUGCAGAAAUGGGUUGCAAUUACUUCUGGUUCACAAUAGUGGAGGAUGCACAUCAAGGCACCUGAGUGCCUCCAGCCCAAAGUGCCUGAGACGAGCACAUGAGUGGGAUGGGAGUCAGCCCUGAAAUGAGGGGCGACAAAUGUUGCAAGAACACGACGAGCGUGAGAGCAGCCAUAUGGGAUCAGACCAAUGGUCUGCCUACAACAUGGCCAGAAGCGACGUCUGGAAUAUGGGAACCUUCUCCCCUGGUGCUCUUCCAGUGCUUGGGAGUCAUGGGCAAGCAUGUCCAAAGACUACACAAGCCCACCCUGGCUCCUGGGGUUUGCUGACUCUGAGGUCUGUUGCAGCAUCCAUGUUGCAUCGCCACUUGAACCAGGCGCCGAGGCUUAUGGAGAUGAAGUCAGUCGCAGAGGUGACCUGGGGACACGUGAAUCACCUCGAAGCAGCCCUGGACUUUUGCCUCAUGUCUAUACCAGGCCUUAUCGCCACCUGCUUGCUUCCUCUUUCUCCUGUACCUGCAGGGACACAAAGCAGCCUCUGGAAGGCCUGGGCAAGGGGAAAUGUGUUUCCAGAGAAAGAUGAGGUUUGCUCAGUUCCCAUAAGGCUGCUGGACACAAGGCUGUGUUACAGCUAGUCGAAACAACUGUAGGCCCAGAGGAAUUACAUUGUUUUCUUCCCAAAUAAGUCAAUACCAGACCAAAAUAUUAACAUUUUCCAGAAUAGCUAUCUUUCUCCUAAAAACAUGCCUCUGAAAAGACCUCAUUUUGGUAUUUCAAGUCCAAAGGAAAUAUUUUCAAGUUGCUGAAUUUAAUAAAUUUUCUUAUUUUGUUUUCA
Molecule: long non-coding RNA, 1087 nt
Filed under: Anser cygnoides (Swan goose)
Lineage: Eukaryota; Metazoa; Chordata; Aves; Anseriformes; Anatidae
Description: lncRNA (ENSACDG00005019298.1)
Source: RNAcentral